AACGAGAAGAACCUUACCAAAUCUUGACAUCCUUUGACAACUCUAGAGAUAGAGCCUUCCCCUUCGGGGGACAAAGUGACAGGUGGUGCAUGGUUGUCGUCAGCUCGUGUCGUGAGAUGUUGGGUUAAGUCCCGCAACGAGCGCAACCCUUAAGCUUAGUUGCCAUCAUUAAGUUGGGCACUCUAAGUUGACUGCCGGUGACAAACCGGAGGAAGGUGGGGAUGACGUCAAAUCAUCAUGCCCCUUAUGAUUUGGGCUACACACGUGCUACAAUGGACAAUACAAAGGGCAGCGAAACCGCGAGGUCAAGCAAAUCCCAUAAAGUUGUUCUCAGUUCGGAUUGUAGUCUGCAACUCGACUACAUGAAGCUGGAAUCGCUAGUAAUCGUAGAGCAGCAUGCUACGGUAUU
Molecule: ribosomal RNA, 409 nt
Filed under: Staphylococcus aureus
Lineage: Bacteria; Bacillati; Bacillota; Bacilli; Caryophanales; Staphylococcaceae
Description: bacterial SSU rRNA
Rfam family: Bacterial small subunit ribosomal RNA
Source: RNAcentral